GACGAACGCUGGCGGCGUGCCUAAUACAUGCAAGUCGAACGCUUCUUUCCUCCCGAGUGCUUGCACUCAAUUGGAAAGAGGAGUGGCGGACGGGUGAGUAACACGUGGGUGACCUACCCAUCAGAGGGGGAUAACACUUGGAAACAGGUGCUAAUACCGCAUAACAGUUUAUGCCGCAUGGCAUAAGAGUGAAAGGCGCUUUCGGGUGUCGCUGAUGGAUGGACCCGCGGUGCAUUAGCUAGUUGGUGAGGUAACGGCUCACCAAGGCCACGAUGCAUAGCCGACCUGAGAGGGUGAUCGGCCACACUGGGACUGAGACACGGCCCAGACUCCUACGGGAGGCAGCAGUAGGGAAUCUUCGGCAAUGGACGAAAGUCUGACCGAGCAACGCCGCGUGAGUGAAGAAGGUUUUCGGAUCGUAAAACUCUGUUGUUAGAGAAGAACAAGGACGUUAGUAACUGAACGUCCCCUGACGGUAUCUAACCAGAAAGCCACGGCUAACUACGUG
RNAcentral lists this ribosomal RNA (508 nucleotides) under uncultured bacterium. RNAcentral describes it as "partial 16S ribosomal RNA". It matches the Rfam family "Bacterial small subunit ribosomal RNA", at positions 28 to 507 of the family's 1533-position model. The record is from RNAcentral.